Long non-coding RNA from Thalassophryne amazonica, 382 nucleotides. RefSeq lists it as uncharacterized. The transcript has 3 exons. The record is from RefSeq and is a predicted model, not a curated record. Lineage: Eukaryota; Metazoa; Chordata; Actinopteri; Batrachoidiformes; Batrachoididae.
AAGGCGAAGAUUUUUCUGACAUUUCGGACAUAAACAUUAUAAUGUGUAUAGUUUCGGACUCAAACAGAAUUAUAAGGUUAUUUUCCGCACGAAAUGUAUCAACGUUCUGACAGUGUGUUAGUUUAACAGUAGGUGGCGUUGUUGCCGGUUUGUUUGUCAGCAGCAUGACGUCCUGUGAUUCAGCAUCUCAGAAAAGGACUCUGUCCAACCUUUUUGCCAGUCGUAUGGUAAAGAGGAAGAAGCAGGUGGAUGCUCAGGAGCUACAGGAGGCAGUGAUCCAGCUCUUGGACCAGUACCAGAACCCGAGUAGCCUGCUAGCUGAGGUUCAGAAUGCAGAUCCAUGCUGUGUUUUGUCCAUGAAGAAAAACGCGUCUGAUGGAAU